AUGUCACGGAUCGGAGAUUUGAUGCCGAGGGAGCGGUCUGUCAAGUCAACAAGUCACUCAAGGAAGGCUGAUGGGAAUUCUGCGAAUGUGAGUGGUACACCACAUGACAUUGCCAAACAUUGCCACGAUGAAGAGUUGGGAAACAUAGGAGGAAAACUUUGCAAGAAUGAUGGCCACUCCUUCAAGGAGAGCUGCAGUAUCACAAAUUCUGAAGUCCUCACCAGAGUGAAAUGGUCAGAGGAGGAAGAUAAGGUGCUCACUCAAAUGAUCAACAAACAUGGGCUGAAAAACUGGCAAAUGGUCGCACAUGCUAUACCUGGCCGAAGUGCACCGCAAUGCCGACAAAGGUGGAGAUACAAAAUAGACUCUGCAAUAAACAAGGAGGCGUGGUCGGAACAAGAGGAGUUGAGACUGAUUCGUGCUCAUCAAAUCUAUGGAACUAAAUGGCGUGAAAUGGUCAAACAUUUUCCUGGGAGGACGAAUGGUGCAAUCAAAGAAUAUUGGAGGGGUCCUAUGAAAAGAAAAUUGAAUUCAUAUUUAUCGUCAGGUUUGCUUGAACAAUUUCCAGACAUUCUGGAAAACCUGUCAGGCACACAGAAUAAUAGUUUGGAUAUUCUGAAGGGGACUAAAGUUUCUGAUAUUCUGAAUGACACUGAAGGUUUGUCUGAGAGAAAUGAAAUGUCGUCAGCUGUACCAAGAAUUUCCAUAUCUGAAGUAAGCUUCACAGAAGUAGGUGAAAAUGCUGAUGUACCAGGGGGAGAAAGUGCAGAUUUCAUGUAUGCUAGAGUGGCAUCAGCCAAAGCCCCUGAAAACAUAAUCGCAAGAUCUGAGCAGCAUGCGAAAACCAGGAGGAAGUUGGAUUUAUUGUCAAGCCCAGUGGAACUCAAGUCAUCCAGUCAUGAAGUAAAUUCUCAAAGGCCUCUACAGCAAAGGGAACAAAUGAGUCCAGCUGUUGGUGGUGUCUCUCCAUCAAAUGGAUGCCAUGAUGUUUUGCCAAAAAUCCUAUCAGAAUGUGCAAAGCCGGUUUUAUCAUCAACUGGUAGCUACCAGCCCAGUGAUGUUCAUUCUGCGGGAACCUCAGAUCCAUGUUCAUUAGAGCUAGACAUAUCAGAUCUUAUGGAAAUGUCAUACUUUGAUAACUUGUUGAUCUUUCCUCCUGGUUCUCCACAUGAUGGUAACUCAAUAUAA
Molecule: ribosomal RNA, 1188 nt
Filed under: Triticum aestivum (bread wheat)
Lineage: Eukaryota; Viridiplantae; Streptophyta; Magnoliopsida; Poales; Poaceae
Description: partial small subunit ribosomal RNA
Source: RNAcentral